This 240-nucleotide ribosomal RNA is filed under the name Triticum aestivum (bread wheat). RNAcentral's name for it is "partial small subunit ribosomal RNA". The record is from RNAcentral. Lineage: Eukaryota; Viridiplantae; Streptophyta; Magnoliopsida; Poales; Poaceae.
AUGAAUAUUUUGGCCUGGAACUGUCGAGGCUUGGGGUUGGACUCGACAGUUGGUGAAUUGCGAGACCUGAUUAGGUCCUACAACCAGGCGGUGGUUUUUUUAAGUGAAACUAAAAGAAAGGCGCGAGCGAUGGAGAGACUCAAGUGGAGUUUGGGCUUCAGAAACAGUGUUGCUGUGGAUUGUAACGGAAGGAGUGGGGGCUGGCCCUAUGGUGGAGAGACCAUGUCCAAAUUACGGUGA